RNAcentral lists this unclassified non-coding RNA (431 nucleotides) under plant metagenome. RNAcentral's name for it is "partial contains 5.8S ribosomal RNA, internal transcribed spacer 2, and large subunit ribosomal RNA". The stretch from base 1 to 102 matches the Rfam family "5.8S ribosomal RNA", at positions 50 to 154 of the family's 154-position model. The record is from RNAcentral.
AAACUGCGAUAAGUAGUGUGAAUUGCAUUUAGUGAAUCAUCGAAUCUUUGAACGCACCCUGCACUCACUGGUAUUCCGGUGAGUACGCCUGUUUCAGUAUCAUUGAAAACACACAAUCAAAACAUUUUCUUUGGUUUGAUUGGCUUUGGGUCUAUCAAAAAGUUUGGCUUGUUUCUUACAAGCCAAGCGGCCUGAAAUAUAUUGUCUGGCUAAUUGCAUCGUUGAUGAUCGCUAUUAGACUUUGGCUUUUUUAAAUGAACUGGAGGUUGAUUAACCAGUUUUAGCUUUAGUCAAAUGGUCAUUGUAAAAAAAAUCUCGAUCUUGGCCAGGUGUUUAUAGCCGAAAAUUUUUUUUUGGCUACAACCGAAACCAAUAUAAUCACAUUUAGUUAUCGAUCUGAAAUCAGGUGGGACUACCCGCUGAACUUAAGC